RNAcentral lists this non-coding RNA (81 nucleotides) under Tetraselmis sp. GSL018. The record is from RNAcentral. Lineage: Eukaryota; Viridiplantae; Chlorophyta; Chlorodendrophyceae; Chlorodendrales; Chlorodendraceae.
GAAAGACAGGCAUUUGUUUUCUUUUUUUCUUGUCUUUUCUGAUUCGUUCCUCUCUCUUUUUUUUUCUUUUUUUUUUUUUUU